CCCAAUGCUAUUAAAAAUCGAAUAAGCAGGUAAUAAUAUUUGAAUACAUUUUUGUUAUAAGAAGUAUAUCUACAUUGAUAUAUGUGUCGGUCGCCAUUCGCUUUUACCUAUCAUUUUCCAUGGCGACCCGUCACACAUGAGAUAUUUAUCCGUGCGCCUCUUCUUAAAUUUAUCUUGCGGAUGUCAAGGCCUUAAAUAGAAGUAUGAAAAUUAGUGUUUUAGGGUUGUUGGAGCAGUAUAAAUAACGGGUUAUUCGCGUAAGAGGGAACAAUAAUUUCGAAAACUAAGUGACCAUGCAUUCUUAAGGCUAGAUUAAGCUACGAUGGCGAAGCGAGGAGCUUCACCCAAACUUAAGUAACACUAGACUACAAAUUUAUUCAAAUUAUACUUUUGAAAGCGCAGAUAUGCGUCAUCUUCGGCCACCGUGAGUGGCUUGUUGUCUUCAUUAAACUGGAAAGCGCAGCAUUGGUAACUUGUGGACAGGGCUAUAAUAUUGCUUUCCACUGGCCGUUCUAAUUUCAGCGACUCGAAAGACGCCGUCGUCUCUUGCGUGCACUGCCGGCACUCUGCCGAUCAGCCACUGCUAGGGCAGCAGCUCGUCCUCAACGACGACCACCAGCUCGUCCACGAUGGCGUUUGGCAGGCGAUGGUGCUAUUUGGUCCGAGCUUGGAGUCCGAGCACAUACUCAUUUAACCAUUGCCAGCAGAACUAUCGUUCGAGCGACAUGACAGCGUGCCAUCGAUUUAGACAGGUUAGACCCUGAUGUUCCGAAGUCUCUUCUGUCGGCAGAGCCCUUAAUGGGCAUCCCAGGUGGCCUGGCGUGUGAGUCUCGCCGUCGCUGGGUUCAUCGCUGAGAGCUCAUAUGGCCUGGAACUUAGCUCGGCUGCCACCGCGACUAGAGUCGUCUGGAAGCUCUAGCCUGUCGCAUACGCUUUUUACUGUGGCUUCACGAAUUAUGUCGGCGUCUUCCUCGAUUGGAGCUCGCAACUCCUGAAACUUUCGACUAAAAUCAUCGCGCUAUCGCAAUUGAUGGUCAACGUGACUUCUCGACGGUCGACGAUUAUAAAAGUAUUUGUUGAUAAGCUUUCGACGCAUUCAAAAGGUCGUGCUAAUUGAGUGAGCAACACAAAUCGACGCCAUGGAUAGCGAAUGGGCAGAACGCUCGGAGUCGAUCUGCUGGUAAAUUUUUAAUAACUUGUGUUAGCAGACGAGGCUUGCAUUCAAAACAACGAAUACAUAAACUUACUUUCUCACAGUCGCUCACGAAGAAGACUCACGAGUACUCUUAGGUUAGCUUUGCUUAUUGUUACCAAAAUUAUUUGUCAUAUCUUUUUUUAAAAUAAAAGAGAACUCGAGAAAUAAAUCGACAAGAAAAACUACGCGCAAAAAUAAAGCCACAAUACAACGUU
Drosophila virilis is the source of this 1410-nucleotide non-coding RNA. The record is from RefSeq and is a predicted model, not a curated record. NCBI's taxonomy places the organism in Eukaryota, Metazoa, Arthropoda, Insecta, Diptera, Drosophilidae.